RNAcentral lists this ribosomal RNA (300 nucleotides) under uncultured Lactobacillus sp. RNAcentral describes it as "bacterial SSU rRNA". It matches the Rfam family "Bacterial small subunit ribosomal RNA", at positions 496 to 795 of the family's 1533-position model. Lineage: Bacteria; Bacillati; Bacillota; Bacilli; Lactobacillales; Lactobacillaceae. The record is from RNAcentral.
GCUGCCUUCGUCCCGACAUGCGGGGUAAUUCAGGGGGGGCGAUGGGUAAUUGGAAUUGCUGGGCGUAAAGCGCGCGUAGGUAGCUAAUUAAGUCAAAUGUGAAAUCCCCGUGCUUAACUGGUGAAUUGCAUUCGAUACUAGUUAGCUAGGGUAUGGGAGAGGAUGGGAGAAUUCCAGGUGUAGCGGUGAAAUGCGUAGAGAUCUGGAGGAAUACCGAUGGCGAAGGUAGCCAUCUGGCCUAAUACUGACACUGAGGUGCGAAAGCAUGGGGAGCAAACAGGAUUAGAUACCCUAGUAGUC